This 301-nucleotide ribosomal RNA is filed under the name uncultured bacterium. Its description in RNAcentral is "partial 16S ribosomal RNA". It matches the Rfam family "Bacterial small subunit ribosomal RNA", at positions 509 to 808 of the family's 1533-position model. The record is from RNAcentral.
CAGCCGCCGCGGGAAUACGUAGGGGGCAAGCGUUAUCCGGAAUAACUGGGCGUAAAGGGUGCGCAGGUGGUUUAACAAGUUAGUGGUGAAAGGCAUAGGCUCAACCAAUGUAAGCCAUUAAAACUGUUUAACUUGAGUGCAGGAGAGGAAAGUGGAAUUCCUAGUGUAGCGGUGAAAUGCGUAGAUAUUAGGAGGAAUGCCGAUGGGGAAGCCAGCUUACUGGACAGAUACUGACGCUGAAGCGCGAAAGCGUGGGUAGCAAACAGGAUUAGAUACCCCUGUAGUCCCUGUCUCUUAUACC